RNAcentral lists this ribosomal RNA (253 nucleotides) under uncultured bacterium. RNAcentral's name for it is "partial 16S ribosomal RNA". It matches the Rfam family "Bacterial small subunit ribosomal RNA", at positions 524 to 776 of the family's 1533-position model. The record is from RNAcentral.
AACGUAGGUCACGAGCGUUGUCCGGAAUUACUGGGUGUAAAGGGAGCGCAGGCGGGUAUGCAAGUUGGGAGUGAAAUACAUGGGCUCAACCCAUGAACUGCUCUCAAAACUGUGUAUCUUGAGUAGUGCAGAGGUAGGCGGAAUUCCCGGUGUAGCGGUGGAAUGCGUAGAUAUCGGGAGGAACACCAGUGGCGAAGGCGGCCUGCUGGGCACCAACUGACGCUGAGGCUCGAAAGUGUGGGUAGCAAACGGG